Salarias fasciatus (jewelled blenny) is the source of this 235-nucleotide long non-coding RNA. RefSeq lists it as uncharacterized. The record is from RefSeq and is a predicted model, not a curated record. The transcript is spliced from 3 exons. Lineage: Eukaryota; Metazoa; Chordata; Actinopteri; Blenniiformes; Blenniidae.
UUUGUUGUUGGCGCAGUUGUUUUUUUUAAUCAAUGUUAUGGAACACUGCUAUAGACAUACUGUAUGAAUAUAAAUGGUCGUUGCUGGUUUUUGUUGUUUCGUUUAUAUUUUUUUUCAACCAGACGCAGCAGUGUAAAUGGUGAUUUUUAUUUUCUUUAAAUAGUUUUCUGAGCAGGUAGACUGGAGUCUGCGUUUUCUAUUUCUAUUUCUUUACUUCAUUGUGACGGGGAGGAAA